CCUACGGGAGGCAGCAGGGGGGAAUAUUGCACAAUGGGCGCAAGCCUGAUGCAGCCAUGCCGCGUGUAUGAAGAAGGCCUUCGGGUUGUAAAGUACUUUCAGCGGGGAGGAAGGUGUUGAGGUUAAUAACCUCAGCAAUUGACGUUACCCGCAGAAGAAGCACCGGCUAACUCCGUGCCAGCAGCCGCGGUAAU
Molecule: ribosomal RNA, 194 nt
Filed under: uncultured endophytic bacterium
Lineage: Bacteria
Description: partial 16S ribosomal RNA
Rfam family: Bacterial small subunit ribosomal RNA
Source: RNAcentral